RNAcentral lists this long non-coding RNA (479 nucleotides) under Columba livia (rock pigeon). RNAcentral's name for it is "partial uncharacterized LOC102097602, transcript variant X2". The record is from RNAcentral. Lineage: Eukaryota; Metazoa; Chordata; Aves; Columbiformes; Columbidae.
CCCGCCACAUGGACGCGACAGGUCGGGGGCGCUCCGAUGGGCUGCGGAGGGGCAGCGCGGCUGCGGGAGGGCCUUGGCCCGGCGCGUGGGGAAGAUGCCGGGCCCGCCGUGGCAUCCUGGCGUCAGAGGUGAUCGCGGUGCCUGAGGCGGCUGGUGACGGCCUCAGCUCAGCGGCGUGGGGCAGGGUCGUUUGAUGUUUUGGAGCUCGCUCAGCCCGGGGCCUUUCCUCCUGACAGACGCGAGGAAUUACUUGCUUAGUGGAAAAAGCCGAGAGCUCAUGAGUCCCCAGUGGAUUCAGUUUCCUUAAGGCCUGAAUCGCAGGGGAAGCACGUCUGAGUGUGGAGCUGAGAUGAGUCAUUCCCUGAGGAUUUUGGUGCUGCAGUGGAUGACUUCGUCCUUCUCCAGCGCUUUCUUAAACACUUGGGAUGGAAGAAUCAUCCAUUCUGUGGAGUUCUCUUGAGAAGACUGUCAGGAUGAAU